RNAcentral lists this ribosomal RNA (437 nucleotides) under uncultured bacterium. Its description in RNAcentral is "bacterial SSU rRNA". It matches the Rfam family "Bacterial small subunit ribosomal RNA", at positions 340 to 772 of the family's 1533-position model. The record is from RNAcentral.
UACGGAAGGCAGCAGUGGGGAAUAUUGCACAAUGGGCGCAAGCCUGAUGCAGCCAUGCCGCGUGUAUGAAGAAGGCCUUCGGGUUGUAAAGUACUUUCAGUCGUGAGGAAGGUGUUAAGGUUAAUAACCUUAGCAAUUGACGUUAGCGACAGAAGAAGCACCGGCUAACUCCGUGCCAGCAGCCGCGGUAAUACGGAGGGUGCGAGCGUUAAUCGGAAUUACUGGGCGUAAAGGGCACGCAGGCGGUUAAUUAAGUUGGAUGUGAAAUCCCCGGGCUUAACCUGGGAAUGGCAUUCAAGACUGGUUAGCUAGAGUCUUGUAGAGGGGGUAGAAUUCCAUGUGUAGCGGUGAAAUGCGUAGAGAUGUGGAGGAAUACCGGUGGCGAAGGCGGCCCCUGGACAAGACUGACGCUCAUGUGCGAAAGCGUGGGGAGCAAA